RNAcentral lists this unclassified non-coding RNA (337 nucleotides) under soil metagenome. RNAcentral describes it as "partial contains 5.8S ribosomal RNA, internal transcribed spacer 2, and large subunit ribosomal RNA". The stretch from base 1 to 120 matches the Rfam family "5.8S ribosomal RNA", at positions 35 to 154 of the family's 154-position model. The record is from RNAcentral.
GAUGAAGAACGUAGCGAAAUGCGAUAAGUAGUGUGAAUUGCAGAAUUCAGUGAAUCAUCGAAUCUUUGAACGCACAUUGCGCCCCUUGGUAUUCCAUGGGGCAUGCCUGUUCGAGCGUCAUUUGUACCUUCAAGCCUUGCUUGGUGUUGGGUGUUUGUCUCGCCUCUGCGCGCAGACUCGCCUCAAAACAAUUGGCAGCCGGCGUAUUGAUUUCGGAGCGCAGUACAUCUCGCGCUUUGCACUCAGAACGACGACGUCCAAAAGUACAUUUUUACACUCUUGACCUCGGAUCAGGUAGGGAUACCCGCUGAACAUAAGCAUAUCAAUAAGCGGAGGA